This 74-nucleotide transfer RNA is filed under the name Acidobacteriota bacterium. RNAcentral's name for it is "Acidobacteria bacterium (groundwater metagenome) tRNA-Arg". It matches the Rfam family "tRNA". Rfam says of the family: Transfer RNA (tRNA) molecules are approximately 80 nucleotides in length. Their secondary structure includes four short double-helical elements and three loops (D, anti-codon, and T loops). Lineage: Bacteria; Pseudomonadati; Acidobacteriota. The record is from RNAcentral.
GCGCCUGUAGCUCAACUGGAUAGAGCACCUGCCUUCUAAGCAGGGGGUCGGGGGUUCGAGCCCCUCCAGGCGCG